This 253-nucleotide ribosomal RNA is filed under the name uncultured bacterium. Its description in RNAcentral is "partial 16S ribosomal RNA". It matches the Rfam family "Bacterial small subunit ribosomal RNA", at positions 524 to 776 of the family's 1533-position model. The record is from RNAcentral.
GACGGAGGGGGCAAGCGUUGUCCGGAAUCACUGGGCGUAAAGCGCACGUAGGCGGGACGGUGCGUCGGUGCUGAAAGCGCCAGGCUUAACCUGGCGAGGCGUGCCGAUACGACCGACCUCGAGGCAGGCAGAGGGUGGCGGAAUUCCGGGUGUAGUGGUGAAAUGCGUAGAGAUCCGGAGGAACGCCGGUGGCGAAAGCGGCCACCUGGGUCUGACCUGACGCUGAGGUGCGAAAGCGUGGGGAGCAAACAGG